AUUGAACGCUGGCGGCAUGCUUUUACACAUGCAAGUCGAACGGCAGCACGGGGGGGUAACUCUCUGGUGGCGAGUGGCGAACGGGUGAGUAAUGCAUCGGAACGCGUCCUGUAAUGGGGGAUAACCUGCCGAAAGGUGGGCUAAUACCGCAUACGUCCUGAGGGAGAAAGCGGGGGAUUGGCAACGACCUCGCGUUACAGGAGCGGCCGAUGUCGGAUUAGCUAGUUGGUGAGGUAAAGGCUCACCAAGGCGACGAUCUGUAGCGGGUCUGAGAGGAUGAUCCGCCACACUGGAACUGAGACACGGUCCAGACUCCUACGGGAGGCAGCAGUGGGGAAUUUUGGACAAUGGGGGCAACCCUGAUCCAGCCAUGCCGCGUGAGUGAAGAAGGGCCUUCGGGUUGUAAAGACUCUUUCGGUCCGGGAACGGAAAGUCGCAAUGGGCUAAUACCCUGUGCGGAUGACGGUACCGGCAUAAGAAGCACCGGCUAACUACGUGCCAGCCAGCCGAC
RNAcentral lists this ribosomal RNA (511 nucleotides) under uncultured bacterium. Its description in RNAcentral is "bacterial SSU rRNA". It matches the Rfam family "Bacterial small subunit ribosomal RNA", at positions 29 to 518 of the family's 1533-position model. The record is from RNAcentral.